Molecule: long non-coding RNA, 794 nt
Organism: Biomphalaria glabrata
Lineage: Eukaryota; Metazoa; Mollusca; Gastropoda; Planorbidae
Exons: 2
Source: RefSeq, a predicted model, not a curated record
UCCACGUGUAUAUGGACAAACUUCAUCGUCCGAUCUCAUUCACGCUGGAGAGCCCACAGGGAGCACAUCUAACUCUUGCUUGAGCUCUAGACUAUUUUCAUUCCCUUAUUUCACUUUGGAUUGGUGGUAUGUAACUUAGUAAAGUGCUUGAGAACCAUUUUACUUAGUAAUGUAUAUAUAUUUUUGUGCAUUUAUUACUACAUUAUUUGUGUAUAUAUUUGUGCAUUCUUAUCAUGGAUGAUCUUUUAUCUAUAGGCUACAUCCGCCUGAAAUCUUAGCAACCUAAAGCUGAUAGCAGAUUUGUUGGCACCAGAUCUGUAGACAUCAGACCUACUCAUCCUUCAAGAGUCCAAGUAACAACGCUAGCCACAGACUCGUCACUGGCUUAACUGAUUGGUAGACGCAGCUUAGCUCUGCAACCAUACAAGUUGGACUGCACACGGAGCCUGGAUCCGCUACGCCAGCCCACCAGCAGACAGCAUCAGUACCAGCCACACCCGUCUCAUCAGUGCGGCAUCGGACCAAAAGCUAAGCAACCAGCCUAAUGACACUCAGACCACUUGGUUCUAAUAUCUGAUGAUGAUAGUCUCCUAAUGUAAAUACGCUAGAUCCCAUUCUAGCAUCUGUACAGCAUUUUACCUUUUAAUUAUCCUUUGUAUAAUAAACUGUACAUAAUUUUACAUCUAAAAUAUAGUAUUUGUUGCCUGCAUUAUAACGCUGUGCUUGUAGUUUAUAUGUGCAAGUAAGGAUUCUCAAACUAUAAAAUCCCCUAGACACCCAAAACGGCCAAUAUC